Molecule: RNA transcript, 1123 nt
Organism: Venturia canescens
Lineage: Eukaryota; Metazoa; Arthropoda; Insecta; Hymenoptera; Ichneumonidae
Gene name: putative gamma-glutamylcyclotransferase CG2811
Exons: 4
Source: RefSeq, a predicted model, not a curated record
UCCGUGGUCGAAGAGGCGUGUAUACAAAAAAAAAACGGAAAAAAACACUCACCGGGUAUCGAAUUACGUUUUUAUUUUGAGCCUCCAAAAAUAAGAAGUUUAGAUUUGAAGUUCAGAAGAUUAAAAAAAUUCAAACAGAGUGACUCAUCGGCCAUAUUGAUUUUUUAGAGUUUUAUCAAAUGUCCUUUUGACCUUGGUGCUUCGAAAGUGUUGCAAAGUGACGGGAAGGCCGAAGAAAGAAAAUGUACGAGAAUUUGUUCAAGAACCCGUUGCACCGGGUUUUCGUUUACGGGACAUUAAAAAGGGGCGAGCCGAAUCAUCGGAUUCUUCAAAACACAAAAGACGGGGGCUACGCGAAAUUUCUCGGUUGCGGAAAAACGGUCAACAAGUAUCCUCUCGUUAUCGCAACCAAAUACAACAUUCCAUUUCUGCUGAAAAAACCUGACACCGGGAACCAAAUUCUCGGUGAAGUUUACGACGUCGAUACGAAGAUGCUCGAGAAACUGGACGAAUUAGAAGAGCAUCCGUCAUUUUAUGUUCGUACAGAGGAAGAAGUGCUGAUGGCGCCAGCGGCAAAUUUGAAACCGAAUAUUAAUUUCGAAGAGAUGGGCAUAUUGUGCAAAGCUUGGACUUACUUUUUGCCGAACUUCAGACCGGAGCUCCUCGAUAAAGAAAUGUUUAAGAGUUACACGAACGAGGGAAGCCAUGGGCUGAGAUACGGCGAGAGGUAUCUUCGCGACACUGAUUUCAAUCAUCGUCGUGAAGUGCAAUGAAUCCUAUUUUAUAAAAAAAAUCAUGAAAAAGUACUUGAAAACGGAUGGAAAAUUUUUAAAAUCGAAAUUUUCUAAAAAAUCAAUGGAUUUAACGAUUUUGUUGACAGCAGUGGCGACUUCGCGAAGCCGGAAGACGUCUUGUGAGGGUAACUGGCAACCGCAUCACCAAAGUUCUUCCGAAAAAAUCAAAAAUAUCGUUGAACAAUAGACGACCAAGCUGAUAAUAAAGAGGAGGAAAGAAAAGAGUAUCGAGGAGCCUAAAAACUGCUUCUCUUCAAUGUGUCUUUGUUUUAUUUAAAAAAAGCCUUAUCUAACAGAAAUAAUUAAACAAUCGUCAACAAAAGUGUAAA